GGGAAUGUGGCUCAGUGGUAGAGUGCUUGCCUUCCAUGCACAAGGUUCUGGGCUCAAUCUCCAGCACGUCCC
This 72-nucleotide transfer RNA is filed under the name Dipodomys ordii (Ord's kangaroo rat). It matches the Rfam family "tRNA". Rfam says of the family: Transfer RNA (tRNA) molecules are approximately 80 nucleotides in length. Their secondary structure includes four short double-helical elements and three loops (D, anti-codon, and T loops). The record is from Rfam by way of RNAcentral. Lineage: Eukaryota; Metazoa; Chordata; Mammalia; Rodentia; Heteromyidae.